This 616-nucleotide ribosomal RNA is filed under the name Steinernema feltiae. RNAcentral's name for it is "eukaryotic LSU rRNA". It matches the Rfam family "Eukaryotic large subunit ribosomal RNA", at positions 344 to 964 of the family's 3401-position model. Lineage: Eukaryota; Metazoa; Nematoda; Chromadorea; Rhabditida; Steinernematidae. The record is from RNAcentral.
ACAAGUACCGUGAGGGAAAGUUGCAAAGUACUUUGAAGAGAGAGUUCAAGAGGACGUGAAACCGAUAGGAUGGAAGCAGAUGAAGUUGACGAACGUGUGUCGUAUUCAAAAUCGCUGUCAGCGGUUUGUUUUUACGGCCGAUGUGGGCCGGCGGCUUUGGUCAAUGCAACGCGUCUAGCGUCGAUGGUGACCCUGCGGAGGGACAAUCAGUCGGCGUACGGUGCUUGGUAUGGCUAAGGUUUCGCCGGUCUUAAAGUCAGCGCCUCAUCUGACCCGUCUUGAAACACGGACCAAGGAGUGUAGCGUUUGCGCAAGUCUUAGAGUGUAUCGAAACUUUGAGGCGUAACGAAAGUAAAUGCAGUUUAAUCUGCUGACUUGGGAUGCGUUGUCUCUUGUGGACGGCGCUGGACCAAGGUUUUAUCGCGAUCGCUUGCGGUGCGGUGAAAAUAGAGCGUAAACGGUGCGACCCGAAAGAUGGUGAACUAUGCCUGAGCAGGAUGAAGCCGGAGGAAACUCUGGUGGAAGUCCGAAGCGGUUCUGACGUGCAAAUCGAUCGUCUGACUUGGGUAUAGGGGCGAAAGACUAAUCGAACCAUCUAGUAGCUGGUUCCUUCCGA